Molecule: unclassified non-coding RNA, 335 nt
Filed under: uncultured fungus
Lineage: Eukaryota; Fungi
Description: partial contains 5.8S ribosomal RNA and internal transcribed spacer 2
Rfam family: 5.8S ribosomal RNA (bases 1-133)
Source: RNAcentral
UGGUUCUGGCAUCGAUGAAGAACGCAGCGAAAUGCGAUAAGUAAUGUGAAUUGCAGAAUUCAGUGAAUCAUCGAAUCUUUGAACGCACAUUGCGCCCGCCAGCAUUCUGGCGGGCAUGCCUGUUCGAGCGUCAUUACAACCCUCGAGCUCCCCCUGGGGAGCCCGGCGCUGGGGAUCGGCAGCCUCUGCCCGCCGUCCCCCAAAUCCAGUGGCGGCCCGUCCGCGGCGACCUCUGCGUAGUAGCUAUACCCCGCACCGGAAACCCGACGUGGCCACGCCGUAAAACCCCCCAACUUCUGAACGUUGACCUCGAAUCAGGUAGGACUACCCGCUGA